This 901-nucleotide ribosomal RNA is filed under the name Cylindrospermopsis raciborskii UP. Its description in RNAcentral is "bacterial SSU rRNA". It matches the Rfam family "Bacterial small subunit ribosomal RNA", at positions 66 to 1008 of the family's 1533-position model. The record is from RNAcentral. Lineage: Bacteria; Bacillati; Cyanobacteriota; Cyanophyceae; Nostocales; Aphanizomenonaceae.
ACGGGAUGCUUAGGCAUCUAGUGGCGGACGGGUGAGUAACGCGUGAGAAUCUGGCUCCAGGUCGGGGAUAACAGUCGGAAACGACUGCUAAUACCGGAUGUGCCGAGAGGUGAAAGAUUUAUUGCCUGGAGAUGAGCUCGCGUCUGAUUAGCUAGUUGGUGGUGUAAGGGACUACCAAGGCGUCGAUCAGUAGCUGGUCUGAGAGGAUGAUCAGCCACACUGGGACUGAGACACGGCCCAGACUCCUACGGGAGGCAGCAGUGGGGAAUUUUCCGCAAUGGGCGAAAGCCUGACGGAGCAAUACCGCGUGAGGGAGGAAGGCUCUUGGGUCGUAAACCUCUUUUCUCAAGGAAGAAGAAAGUGACGGUACUUGAGGAAUAAGCAUCGGCUAACUCCGUGCCAGCAGCCGCGGUAAUACGGAGGAUGCAAGCGUUAUCCGGAAUGAUUGGGCGUAAAGGGUCUGCAGGUGGAACUGAAAGUCUGCUGUUAAAGAGUUUGGCUUAACCAAAUAAAAGCGGUGGAAACUACAGAACUAGAGUGCGGUAGGGGCAAAAGGAAUUCCUGGUGUAGCGGUGAAAUGCGUAGAUAUCAGGAAGAACACCGGUGGCGAAAGCGUUUUGCUAGACCGUAACUGACACUGAGGGACGAAAGCUAGGGGAGCGAAUGGGAUUAGAUACCCCAGUAGUCCUAGCCGUAAACGAUGGAUACUAGGCGUGGCUUGUAUCGACCCGAGCCGUGCCGGAGCUAACGCGUUAAGUAUCCCGCCUGGGGAGUACGCACGCAAGUGUGAAACUCAAAGGAAUUGACGGGGGCCCGCACAAGCGGUGGAGUAUGUGGUUUAAUUCGAUGCAACGCGAAGAACCUUACCAAGACUUGACAUCCUGCGAAUCCUGGUGAAAGC